Molecule: ribosomal RNA, 253 nt
Filed under: uncultured bacterium
Lineage: Bacteria
Description: partial 16S ribosomal RNA
Rfam family: Bacterial small subunit ribosomal RNA
Source: RNAcentral
UACGAAGGGGGCUAGCGUUGUUCGGAAUUACUGGGCGUAAAGCGCGUGUAGGCUGCUCGGAAAGUCGGAUGUGAAAGCCCUGGGCUUAACCUAGGAAGUGCAUUCGAAACUUCCGAGCUGGAGUUCUGGAGAGGAAGGCGGAAUUCUCGGUGUAGAGGUGAAAUUCGUAGAUAUCUGGAGGAACACCGGUGGCGAAGGCGGCAUUCUGGACUGCAACUGACGCUGAAAAACGAAAGCCAGGGGAGCAAACGGG